GGAAGGCCAAAAAGAAGAAGAUAGUUCUGCAGCAGGCAAUUAACGUAUGUAACAUCUGCAUCAUAUCUACCAUGAAGAUGCUGGCUGUGUCUGCACUUGAUUGCCCCGUAAUAGCUCUGGCCAGAGCUGAUGCAGGGACUCUGCUGACCAACAAGUCAACAUCUUGCCGCUGGCCGCUGUUUCCAAUAUGUCCCAGCCACCCUGACCAUAGAGAUUCCUUGUGUAACGCAGAGGCAUGAAGUACCUGUCAAAAUUAGGAACACUGGUGAACGUGUGUUCGUGAUUAUGACUUGUCUGUCUGUGUCAUCAGUCUCCUAUAUAACCUGAAGGCUCUAUAUUUCUCCACAUGCAUUACCGCUGCAAUGCUACUUAUGGAAUGAAGCUACAUGUGACAUAAGCCAGAGAUGAAUUGUCUCUUUGUUUGUUUACUGAAUGUGUAAUGCUUUUAGCACAAUCUUGUAUUGUGUUAUCUUUUUAAUUCUUUAUGCACCAAUAAAGGCUUAAGCACUCAAAA
Micropterus dolomieu (smallmouth bass) is the source of this 514-nucleotide long non-coding RNA. RefSeq lists it as uncharacterized. NCBI's taxonomy places the organism in Eukaryota, Metazoa, Chordata, Actinopteri, Centrarchiformes, Centrarchidae. The transcript has 3 exons. The record is from RefSeq and is a predicted model, not a curated record.